Molecule: ribosomal RNA, 427 nt
Filed under: uncultured bacterium
Lineage: Bacteria
Description: bacterial SSU rRNA
Rfam family: Bacterial small subunit ribosomal RNA
Source: RNAcentral
UGGGGAAUUUUGGACAAUGGGCGCAAGCCUGAUCCAGCAAUGCCGCGUGCAGGAUGAAGGCCUUCGGGUUGUAAACUGCUUUUGUACGGAGCGAAAAGGUCUGCCCUAAUAAGGUGGGCUCAUGACGGUACCGUAAGAAUAAGCACCGGCUAACUACGUGCCAGCAGCCGCGGUAAUACGUAGGGUGCGAGCGUUAAUCGGAAUUACUGGGCGUAAAGCGUGCGCAGGCGGUUAUAUAAGACAGAUGUGAAAUCCCCGGGCUCAACCUGGGACCUGCAUUUGUGACUGUAUAGCUAGAGUACGGUAGAGGGGGAUGGAAUUCCACGUGUAGCAGUGAAAUGCGUAGAUAUGCGGAGGAACACCGAUGGCGAAGGCAAUCCCCUGGACCUGUACUGACGCUCAUGCACGAAAGCGUGGGGAGCAAACA